UACGGAGGGUGCAAACGUUGCUCGGAAUCAUUGGGCGUAAAGCGCACGUAGGCGGACCGCUAAGUCAGAUGUGAAAGCCCUCGGCUUAACCGAGGAAGUGCAUUCGAAACUGACGGUCUUGAGUAUGGAAGAGGGUCGCGGAAUUCCCGGUGUAGAGGUGAAAUUCGUAGAUAUCGGGAGGAACACCAGUGGCGAAGGCGGCGACCUGGGCCAAUACUGACGCUGAGGCGCGAAAGCGUGGGGAGCAAACAGG
Molecule: ribosomal RNA, 253 nt
Filed under: uncultured bacterium
Lineage: Bacteria
Description: partial 16S ribosomal RNA
Rfam family: Bacterial small subunit ribosomal RNA
Source: RNAcentral